Molecule: transfer RNA, 62 nt
Filed under: Blattisocius keegani
Lineage: Eukaryota; Metazoa; Arthropoda; Arachnida; Mesostigmata; Blattisociidae
Description: tRNA-Tyr
Source: RNAcentral
GAAAAGAUGAUCGAAUAAGAUGAUAAUUUGUAAAAUUAUUUAUGAGUAAACCUCUCUUUUCA